GAUGAACGCUGGCGGCGUGCCUAAUACAUGCAAGUCGAGCGAACAGACGAGGAGCUUGCUCCUCUGACGUUAGCGGCGGACGGGUGAGUAACACGUGGAUAACCUACCUAUAAGACUGGGAUAACUUCGGGAAACCGGAGCUAAUACCGGAUAAUAUAUUGAACCGCAUGGUUCAAUAGUGAAAGACGGUUUUGCUGUCACUUAUAGAUGGAUCCGCGCCGCAUUAGCUAGUUGGUAAGGUAACGGCUUACCAAGGCAACGAUGCGUAGCCGACCUGAGAGGGUGAUCGGCCACACUGGAACUGAGACACGGUCCAGACUCCUACGGGUGGCAGCAGUAGGGAAUCUUCCGCAAUGGGCGAAAGCCUGACGGAGCAACGCCGCGUGAGUGGUGAAGGUCUUCGGAUCGUAAAACUCUGUUAUUAGGGAAGAACAAAUGUGUAAGUAACUAUGCACGUCUUGACGGUACCUAAUCAGAAAGCCACGGCUAACUACGUG
RNAcentral lists this ribosomal RNA (497 nucleotides) under uncultured bacterium. RNAcentral describes it as "partial 16S ribosomal RNA". It matches the Rfam family "Bacterial small subunit ribosomal RNA", at positions 28 to 507 of the family's 1533-position model. The record is from RNAcentral.